This 326-nucleotide ribosomal RNA is filed under the name uncultured bacterium. Its description in RNAcentral is "bacterial SSU rRNA". It matches the Rfam family "Bacterial small subunit ribosomal RNA", at positions 28 to 334 of the family's 1533-position model. The record is from RNAcentral.
GACGAACGCUGGCGGCGUGCCUAACACAUGCAAGUCGAACGGAGUUUAAUAACGGAAGCCUUCGGGCGGAAGAUAUUAAACUUAGUGGCGGACGGGUGAGUAACGCGUGAGCAACCUGCCUCUCAGAGGGGGAUAACGUUUGGAAACGAACGCUAAUACCGCAUAACAUAUCUUUACCGCAUGAUAGAGAUAUCAAAGGAGCAAAUCCGCUGAGAGAUGGGCUCGCGUCCGAUUAGAUAGUUGGUGGGGUAACGGCCCACCAAGGCGACGAUCAGUAGCCGGUCUGAGAGGAUGAACGGCCACAUUGGGACUGAGAUACGGCCCAG